AUCAUACUCCCUCCGUUCCACAAUACAUGACUUUCAUUUGUUAAAAUAUAGAUGUAUCUAGACAUGUUUUAGUAUAUAGGUACAUUCAUUUUUUAACAAAUGGAAGUCCAGUAUUUUGGAACGGAGGGAGUACUUG
Molecule: non-coding RNA, 136 nt
Organism: Triticum aestivum (bread wheat)
Lineage: Eukaryota; Viridiplantae; Streptophyta; Magnoliopsida; Poales; Poaceae
Source: Rfam